RNAcentral lists this ribosomal RNA (474 nucleotides) under uncultured bacterium. RNAcentral's name for it is "bacterial SSU rRNA". It matches the Rfam family "Bacterial small subunit ribosomal RNA", at positions 335 to 799 of the family's 1533-position model. The record is from RNAcentral.
ACUCCUACGGGAGGCAGCAGUGGGGAAUAUUGCACAAUGGGGGAAACCCUGAUGCAGCCAUGCCGCGUGUGUGAAGAAGGCCUUCGGGUUGUAAAGCACUUUCAGUAGGGAGGAAGGUAGUGUAGUUAACACCUGCAUUAUUUGACGUUACCUACAGAAGAAGCACCGGCUAACUCCGUGCCAGCAGCCGCGGUAAUACGGAGGGUGCGAGCGUUAAUCGGAAUUACUGGGCGUAAAGCGCAUGCAGGCGGCCUGUUAAGUCAGAUGUGAAAGCCCGGGGCUUAACCUCGGAAUUGCAUUUGAAACUGGCAGGCUAGAGUCUUGUAGAGGGGGGUAGAAUUUCAGGUGUAGCGGUGAAAUGCGUAGAGAUCUGAAGGAAUACCAGUGGCGAAGGCGGCCCCCUGGACAAAGACUGACGCUCAGGAUGCGAAAGCGUGGGGAGCAAACAGGAUUAGAUACCCUGGUAGGAUAGCG